Molecule: ribosomal RNA, 497 nt
Filed under: uncultured bacterium
Lineage: Bacteria
Description: partial 16S ribosomal RNA
Rfam family: Bacterial small subunit ribosomal RNA
Source: RNAcentral
GACGAACGCUGGCGGCGUGCCUAAUACAUGCAAGUUGAGCGCUGAAGGUUGGUACUUGUACCGACUGGAUGAGCAGCGAACGGGUGAGUAACGCGUGGGGAAUCUGCCUUUGAGCGGGGGACAACAUUUGGAAACGAAUGCUAAUACCGCAUAAAAACUUUAAACACAAGUUUUAAGUUUGAAAGAUGCAAUUGCAUCACUCAAAGAUGAUCCCGCGUUGUAUUAGCUAGUUGGUGAGGUAAAGGCUCACCAAGGCGAUGAUACAUAGCCGACCUGAGAGGGUGAUCGGCCACAUUGGGACUGAGACACGGCACAAACUCCUACGGGAGGCAGCAGUAGGGAAUCUUCGGCAAUGGACGAAAGUCUGACCGAGCAACGCCGCGUGAGUGAAGAAGGUUUUCGGAUCGUAAAACUCUGUUGGUAGAGAAGAACGUUGGUGAGAGUGGAAAGCUCAUCAAGUGACGGUAACUACCCAGAAAGGGACGGCUAACUACGUG